CAAGGUUUCCGUAGGUGAACCUGCGGAAGGAUCAUUUCAGUAUUCUUUUGCCAGCGCUUUAUUGCGCGGCGAAAAACCUUUCACACUUGUUUUUCUUUUUUGAAACUAUUGCUUUGGUCUGUCUUUGAAAUAAGUUGGGCCAAAGGUUUUCACCAAACUUCAAUAUUUUUAUUGAAUUGUUUUUUUUAUUUUUUGUCAAUUUGUUGAUUUAAUUCAAAAAUCUUCAAAACUUUCAACAACGGAUCUCUUGGUUCUCGCAUCGAUGAAGAACGCAGCGAAAUGCGAUAAGUAAUAUGAAUUGCAGAUUUUCGUGAAUCAUCGAAUCUUUGAACGCACAUUGCGCCCUUUGGUAUUCCAAAGGGCAUGCCUGUUUGAGCGUCAUUUCUCUCUCAAAUCUUCGGAUUUGGUUUUGAGUGAUACUCUUUGUCAGACUAAGCGUUUGCUUGAAAUGUAUUGGCAUGAGUGGUACUAGAUAGUGCUGAACUGUUUCAAUGUAUUUGGUUUUUCCAACUCGUUGACCAGUAAAGUAUUUGUUUUUUUCACAGGCUCGGCCUUUCAACAACAAACAAAGUUUGACCUCAAAUCAGGUAGGACUACCCGCUGAACUUUAGCAUAUCAA
This 619-nucleotide ribosomal RNA is filed under the name Dujonia santamariae. RNAcentral describes it as "eukaryotic LSU rRNA". The stretch from base 228 to 381 matches the Rfam family "5.8S ribosomal RNA". Lineage: Eukaryota; Fungi; Ascomycota; Pichiomycetes; Serinales; Debaryomycetaceae. The record is from RNAcentral.